This 377-nucleotide ribosomal RNA is filed under the name uncultured bacterium. Its description in RNAcentral is "bacterial SSU rRNA". It matches the Rfam family "Bacterial small subunit ribosomal RNA", at positions 523 to 898 of the family's 1533-position model. The record is from RNAcentral.
AUACAGAGGGUGCGAGCGUUGUUCGGAAUUAUUGGGCGUAAAGCGCAAGUAGGCGGCAUCGCAAGUCGCGUGUGAAAGCUUCCGGCUCAACCGGAAAAGUGCGCGCGAAACUGCGGAGCUUGAGUCUCGGAGAGGGUGGCGGAAUUCCCGGUGUAGAGGUGAAAUUCGUAGAUAUCGGGAGGAACACCAGAUGCGAAGGCGGCCACCUGGAAGAGUACUGACGCUGAGAGGCGAAAGCGUGGGGAGCAAACAGGAUUAGAUACCCUGGUAGUCCACGCCGUAAACGAUGAGUGCUAGUUGUAGCGGGAGUUGACCCCCGCUGUGACGACGCUAACGCAAUAAGCACUCCGCCUGGGGAGUACGGCCGCAAGGCUGAA